GACCGGCGCACGGGUGAGUAACGCGUACACUACCUACCUUUUACUGAGGGAUAGCCUUUGGAAACGAAGAGUAAUACCUCAUGGUCCCUACGGGGUAAAGUUCAGGCGGUAAGAGAUGGGUGUGCGUACCAUUAGCUAGUUGGUAAGGUAACGGCUUACCAAGGCUACGAUGGUUAGGGGGCGUGAGAGCGUGAUCCCCCACACGGGUACUGAGACACGGACCCGACUCC
This 230-nucleotide ribosomal RNA is filed under the name uncultured bacterium. RNAcentral describes it as "partial 16S ribosomal RNA". It matches the Rfam family "Bacterial small subunit ribosomal RNA", at positions 93 to 339 of the family's 1533-position model. The record is from RNAcentral.